UUCAAACACCAUUUCUCGUAGGACCACCGAAGUUAAGCAACGUCGGGUCUGGUCAGUGCUGAGAUAGGUGUCCGCUUGAGAAUACCAGGUGCUGUAAG
Molecule: non-coding RNA, 98 nt
Organism: Acanthosepion pharaonis
Lineage: Eukaryota; Metazoa; Mollusca; Cephalopoda; Sepiida; Sepiidae
Source: the annotation of a GenBank genome assembly